CGGAUCUCGCGAGACGAGGCCGGAGCGCGGCUCAGCAGGUGCGCGGGGGCCCGGGAGCAGGUGCGCGCCGGGCUUGCUGGGCUCUGCAAGUCUGUGCGCCCCGCCUGGCCUUGCGGGUGUCUUCUUGUGGCUUGGGGGAGGCGGUGGGGCGAUCAGGGGUCGGGGAGAGAGACAAACCUUAAUGGGUUUCCCUGAGUUGGGGCGGAUCUGGGGACCACAACUACCUGGGCCUGAUCUAGCUAGGGUCCAUUGGCGGAGAGACAGGAGGCUUUGCCUUGCUCGCAAUUGCUACCUUGUCCCACAGGGGCCUGUGGAGUGUUAACUCCAGCUACUAACCCUACCCUUUGUCAGCCGCCUAGGGUACGGGAGUAAAGGACACACCGGAGUAAAGACGUUGAGGGCGGGGAAGGAUACUUUGUGACAAAGAAGAGGGAAGAUAUAAGAAAUUCACAUUUCACAAUGCAGUUAACAAAGUUUUGCUGGAGUGCCUCUGUUACAGAUAUAUGCUUUUUAUUAAUUGAUGGGGUGGGGGACGGGGACACGUGCACCGCAGUGUGCCUGUGAGGUCAGAGCACAGCUUGUGAAGUCAAUUCUCUCCUUCCACCAUGGGUUCCAGGAAUUGAACUUAGGUGUCCGUCCUGGCUGAGUUCUCUCCACCAAUCUGUUAUGAAUUAAUAAAAAGAUAUAGCCUUUCUUCUCAGCUGCAUGCGGUGGCGCCCACCUUUAAUCCCGGCACUAGAGAGGCAGAGGCAGGUGGAUCUCUGGGAGUUCAAGUCCAGCUGGCUGGUCUAUAUAGUGAGUUGCAGGCCAGCCAGGGCUACCUAGUGAGGCCCUGUCUCAAAAAAAAGAUCGUGUUAUAGUUUGGAUAGAAGGGGACUGAGACGAAUUACCCCCAGGGGGCUUUAUUAGGAAAGUGGCAUCCAUCAGGAGAGCAUAUGGACAGCUGGAGAGGCUGCUACCUCACAAUUACCACCCACUUUUGAAUGGUGUAUGGCUACUUCACCCCCAUUGUAAAGCCAAUGGUGACAGCAGAAAUAACAUGGCUCAUGGCGGCUAAAAUAUUUACUAUCUGGCUCAUUCCAGGGAGCUAUGCCAACUCCUGAUUAAAUCAGUGUUCUCUAUACAAACUCUGCCCAGACCACACUUCACCCCAAUUCUCUUCUGACUUUUUUUUCUUGUCGUUCAGGGUGAAGUCUAACGUUAUCACAAGGAGGCCUCCCAUCUCUGACUGAAUCAUCAAAUAGCAUCCCUAAUGAACUGCCCACGGGCUGUGUUUUCAAUAAUGAGUAGCCUGGUAUGGCAUGUACCUGAAGCCCCAACCCCUUGGGAGGCUGAGGCAGGAGGAUUGCUUAAACCAAGGACUUUGAGGUCAGCCUGGCGACAUAGUAAAAUCCCCUCAGGGGAGAAGGGGAGGGGAAUAUAUUGGCAAAAGGCAUCCUUUUCUUCCAUCUCUGGGAUUCUAGGAAGUUUUGCUAAGAGCAGUGUUAAGAGUCAGAACUUACGCAAAAGUUUGUCAUCUCUAGAGAAGUUUGUCAUCCCUAGAGAAAGCUACUUGCGGUGUGAAGAGAAUGGACACCACUGGCAGCCAAGUUGGAUCAACUUGAUUUUCUAAGACUUUGAGCCACGGGCUUUAGAAUUCACAUGGAGUUGAAUCAGACUAAUGAGAUGGACACAAGUUCUUCUGGUUUCUCUGCCCUGCCCCCACCUCAGCAACAGUCCACUCACCUGGUGAAAGUUUAUCUUCUCAGCCUCUUUCCCGGCACCCAUAUCAGCUCACCCACUUACAAUUCUCCUGUCUCCGGAAUCCCGAAAUGUGGCCCCUCUGGUCCCGGUGUCUUCCACAGAUCUCUUAAGAGAGUUUAGCAGGAGUCAAUAGUGAUGGUGGGACUGGGUUUGAUCUUGUUCCGAAAUGGCUUCUCUGCUUGUCAUCAAAGAUAUUUCCACUGAAGCUUAGAUGAUGAAAAUAAUCAGAAGUCAUCAGUCGGCAGAGCAACAGUGAAUGCCUCUUUGUCCCGUUUGAAAACAGCCCACAUUGUGGACACCACCUCUCUAUAGGAGAAAUAACCUUUUUUUAGGAUUCACUAAUAAAUUUGUAUUAAUCUUUA
Molecule: long non-coding RNA, 2105 nt
Organism: Peromyscus californicus insignis
Lineage: Eukaryota; Metazoa; Chordata; Mammalia; Rodentia; Cricetidae
Exons: 2
Source: RefSeq, a predicted model, not a curated record